Molecule: long non-coding RNA, 475 nt
Filed under: Pan troglodytes (chimpanzee)
Lineage: Eukaryota; Metazoa; Chordata; Mammalia; Primates; Hominidae
Description: lincRNA
Source: RNAcentral
AGGUGAUAGAAUCCACCCUGCCUCUGACAGCAUCCAAUCUGGAGCAAAGGCUUCUUUCAACCCUCCGCCAAGCUCCCAAUACAAGCCCAAAUUCUGGAACAAGUCUUUUCCAACACCUCCUUCAGAGAAACUCCCUGGCUCCAGGCAGGGCUUGCUCCCCUCACUGCAGCAGGAAGCCCAGCUUGCGAACUGCAGGUGUGCUCCAGGUGGUCACUGGAUGCAGGGUAUUGACAGAUGGAUCCCAUCGAUACCCCCACUGCAUAACCAUAGUGCAGUGAAUAGAAGACACUUCUCUGCACCCCAAAAGCUCCAUGCUGAUUGCGAGAAGGAAAUGCUGGAUGGAGGGGUUCCUGGAACUACUGUGAGGGAUGAUACUCCAAAUUGAUACCUAAUAUACAGAAAUGACUAUCAUGGACAUAACCCACAACAUGUGAAAUAUAUGGCUCAUUCUACUGACAUUAUAAAGGAAAGUUAA